Gaeumannomyces graminis is the source of this 97-nucleotide transfer RNA. It matches the Rfam family "tRNA". From Rfam's summary of the family: Transfer RNA (tRNA) molecules are approximately 80 nucleotides in length. Their secondary structure includes four short double-helical elements and three loops (D, anti-codon, and T loops). The record is from Rfam. NCBI's taxonomy places the organism in Eukaryota, Fungi, Ascomycota, Sordariomycetes, Magnaporthales, Magnaporthaceae.
GAGCACAUAGCUCAGUUGGGUUGGGAGAGCGUCAGACUGAAGCGGCAACUCUAGUCAAGAUAUCUGAAGGUCGCUGGUUCGAUCCCGGUUGGGCCCA